Molecule: ribosomal RNA, 320 nt
Filed under: uncultured Prevotella sp.
Lineage: Bacteria; Pseudomonadati; Bacteroidota; Bacteroidia; Bacteroidales; Prevotellaceae
Description: partial 16S ribosomal RNA
Source: RNAcentral
GGAGUUUGGUCCGUGUCUCAGUACCAAUGUGGGGGACCUUCCUCUCAGAACCCCUACUGAUCGUCGGCUAGGUGGGCCGUUACCCCGCCUACUGCCUAAUCAGACGCAUCCCCAUCCCAUAGCGAUUAAUCUUUGGUAUUGCUCAGAUGUCCUCAUAAUACAACAUAGGGCAUUAAUCCGACUUUCGCCGGGCUAUUCCCUACUUGCAGGCAGGUUGGAUACGCGUUACUCACCCGUGCGCCGGUCGCCAUCAAAGAUUGCAAGCAAUCUCCAUGAUGCCCCUCGACUUGCAUGUGUUAAGCCUGUAGCUAGCGUUCAUC